RNAcentral lists this transfer RNA (69 nucleotides) under Bathyraja bergi (bottom skate). Its description in RNAcentral is "tRNA-Met". The record is from RNAcentral. Lineage: Eukaryota; Metazoa; Chordata; Chondrichthyes; Rajiformes; Arhynchobatidae.
AGUAAAGUCAGCUAAUUAAGCUUUUGGGCCCAUACCCCUACCAUGUUGGUUAGAAUCCUUCCUCUACUA